GCUUUCCCUUUACAUUCUCUACUGCUACAAAUCUUCGCUUUUACUCAGUAGUUCUGAAGUUCAUGUCAUAAAUGUUAUUAUACAAACCACAAUAGUAAGUUACCAAUUAUGUGUGUUAGCCUUCUCUCCUUGGACUCCGUAUGCAAGCGUCGCCGCCAUCGGAAUGCUGCACCCACAGGUUUCGACUCCUUUCUCCAUUUUCCCAUGUCUGCUGCCUCACACUCCUGUCAUUUGUAUCCCCACCAUCCGAGAAUUGAGCCCACACACUACGACUCUU
This 277-nucleotide unclassified non-coding RNA is filed under the name Hevea brasiliensis (rubber tree). The record is from RNAcentral. Lineage: Eukaryota; Viridiplantae; Streptophyta; Magnoliopsida; Malpighiales; Euphorbiaceae.